AGGCGAAGUGUCUCGUGAAUCGUGACGAAGGAAGCUGUGAAGGGGCAGAAGGCGGCGAUGCGAUGGUUGGGUCCGAGUCAGGGCAGAUUUCAGAGGCAAUGAUAUGGUGAUGGCGAUUGGUGGGGAGGCGAGACGGAGGGAAGGAAUAUGGAGAAUGGCCUGUCGUAAUCACAGGGGGAUGUGUCAGGGAUGUCAGCACUAACAUUGGGUAAGAAAACAAGAACUCCAUUCUCAUUUCUCAGAGGUUCUACUAAAUAUAGAGGAUGAAGGCGUUCAAAUCUUGAUUGUCUCAGCUUCUAGCUCUUUUUCAAUCUUCAUCUUCAGGAUUACUUUCUCUACUUGUAGCUUGUUGAUUAAUUCUUAGUUCAGUUGCGUUCAAUUUGAAUUAAAUGCUACCCUGAUGAUGGUCACUGUGAGGUUCUCAGCCUUUGCAAUGUAAAUUUAUUUUACAGACAAUGUUUCAAGUCGUGAGAACUCCCUCUGGAACUAGCAGAGUGUGCAUGUGGAAUACUUCAUUAUCUUGGGUAGACAAAUGCCAUUUUUCCAUCCAAAUUUUGCUCCUGGCUUCCGGUGUUCUUGUGUUACUACAUUGUUUCCAGCAUACUAUUGCCUAAUGUGUUCCCAUAAUGCCUGGACACAGGAACAACACGAAAAAUUUGUUGAACAGAUAAUUCCAAGUUUAUACAGGCAGGACUGGGCUACGUCUUGGUUAGAUUUCUCUUCUUUUCCUUCCUCUGAUCUAAGUCAGAGUUCAGAAAUUCCUUUUUUUUUUUUCUUCUUCUUCUUCUUUCAUCCACACGUAGGAUGUUUGCUAUUAAGUGCAGUAGUAGGCUGGAUCUAGUUUUAGUUUCCCGAUUGGAGUCCGAAGAACAGUUUCUCAAAUCCUAUAAAUGUAUUGAUCAGAUUUGUCAGUUAAUGGAAUAUUCGGUUUAUGGUUUCGGUUAUUAGAGAA
Long non-coding RNA from Macadamia integrifolia, 952 nucleotides. RefSeq lists it as uncharacterized. NCBI's taxonomy places the organism in Eukaryota, Viridiplantae, Streptophyta, Magnoliopsida, Proteales, Proteaceae. The transcript has 2 exons. The record is from RefSeq and is a predicted model, not a curated record.